UACGAAGGGUGCAAACGUUGCUCGGAAUUAUUGGGCGUAAAGAGCUCGUAGGCGGUCUGUCGCGUCGGCUGUGAAAUCCCGGGGCUCAACCCCGGGCCUGCAGUCGAUACGGGCAGACUAGAGUGCGGUAGGGGAGACUGGAAUUCCUGGUGUAGCGGUGGAAUGCGCAGAUAUCAGGAGGAACACCGGUGGCGAAGGCGGGUCUCUGGGCAGUAACUGACGCUGAGGAGGGAAAGCGUGGGGAGCGAACAGG
This 253-nucleotide ribosomal RNA is filed under the name uncultured bacterium. Its description in RNAcentral is "partial 16S ribosomal RNA". It matches the Rfam family "Bacterial small subunit ribosomal RNA", at positions 524 to 776 of the family's 1533-position model. The record is from RNAcentral.